This 396-nucleotide ribosomal RNA is filed under the name uncultured bacterium. RNAcentral's name for it is "bacterial SSU rRNA". It matches the Rfam family "Bacterial small subunit ribosomal RNA", at positions 361 to 758 of the family's 1533-position model. The record is from RNAcentral.
UUUGCGUGGGGGCACCCUGACCGCAAUGCCGCGUGAGUGAAGAAGGCCUUCGGGUUGUAAAGCUCUUUUGUCAGGGAAGAAACACCGGCUCUAACACAGUCAGGGAAUGACGGUACCUGAAGAAUAAGCACCGGCUAACUACGUGCCAGCAGCCGCGGUAAUACGUAGGGUGCAAGCGUUAAUCGGAAUUACUGGGCGUAAAGCGUGCGCAGGCGGUUAUACAAGACAGGCGUGAAAUCCCCGGGCUUAACCUGGGAAUGGCGCCUGUGACUGUAUAGCUAGAGUGUGUCAGAGGGGGGUAGAAUUCCACGUGUAGCAGUGAAAUGCGUAGAUAUGUGGAGGAAUACCAAUGGCGAAGGCAGCCCCCUGGGAUAACACUGACGCUCAUGCACGAAA